Molecule: non-coding RNA, 815 nt
Organism: Schizosaccharomyces pombe (fission yeast)
Lineage: Eukaryota; Fungi; Ascomycota; Schizosaccharomycetes; Schizosaccharomycetales; Schizosaccharomycetaceae
Source: the annotation of a GenBank genome assembly
CGCAACUGAAAUUAGCUUGUAAAAUAAAUUUGCAAAGAUCCAUGCGAUUUAUCAGCAAUCUUUUCGUUUCUAUCCAUCGUUUGACUAUAUGAAUGCAUUAACAAUAUCUCAGCGACCCUAUCGCUCUUCUCUAUUUUGUUGCGCUACUCUUUGUUUUCAUUCUACAGUUUUUGUUAACCUCGUUCUUAUUGCUAACCUCACUCAUAUUGACUGUGUUAAGACAUGCCCUUGAUGGAACUUGUCGUGCCCUGGUAUUGUUACUUCAAUGUUAGUCUAGUCAACAGCUGGCAACACAUAGCUUCAUUGAAUCCUGAUAAGAAGCCCCUCCUCAUCUAAAAAAAAAAAAAUUAAAAUUAAAACACGCUGAAUAGUCAGCGUCUAGCUUUCCUAUCCACUAUUAUCAUCGUCGCAUACGUCCACACUUGGUUGGGGUAUCUAGAAUACCAACGAAGAACUGCCUACCUAGAGAUAAAGCAACCCAACCUAAUUACCUACUUAGUAGCAAAAGUAAAUUUAGACUAUCACACAUUUGAGAUAAACUGAUUAUUUACAAUGACACCUUGUUAAUUUUAAUUACACAACAUGCAAUCGUAGUAAUAGCAAUGUAUAUCUUCAAGGCAACUCGUUAUGAAGCUUCAUUUCUUUAAACUGAUAUCCUCGUUCUCUAUAUCUCUCUCUCUUUCUGUGUGUGUGUGUGUGUGUAUCAACUCUCCCUUUGCUUUGCUCAUACAUGCAAGCGAACACAUGAGCACCCAUCAUACCCAGCCUGCUCUCUCUCUCGCUCUUUACGCGCUCCGAAAAUCUCCGUAAUUGCA